This 73-nucleotide transfer RNA is filed under the name Streptomyces sp. PVA_94-07. Lineage: Bacteria; Bacillati; Actinomycetota; Actinomycetes; Kitasatosporales; Streptomycetaceae. The record is from RNAcentral.
CGGCACGGCCCGCCCGGCCCGCCGCGCCAAGGCGGCCAAGCCCGCCACCAUGGGUCAGGCCAUCGGCCGCGCG